Molecule: long non-coding RNA, 969 nt
Organism: Diprion similis
Lineage: Eukaryota; Metazoa; Arthropoda; Insecta; Hymenoptera; Diprionidae
Exons: 2
Source: RefSeq, a predicted model, not a curated record
AUUCCAAAUAAAGUUGCAAAGUUCGCAAUAUUAUGACUGCUACAGCUUAUGUUGUCCCAAGAAUGAAACAUCAUGUUUCACUUCAUUCAAAUUCUAUUUCCUUCAAAACAAAGUCUGAUGGAAGAUUUCUACAACUCAGAAUUCGAAACCAUCAGUCAAAUAAUUAAGUGGAAUGAAGAAAUUGAUAAUCUAAUUUUGAGCCUUUCGUUUUGGGCAAUAUACACCCACUGUUUCUACCAGCCCACACAAAUGAUUUACUUUAGCGACUCGUUCCAAUCAGUAAGAUUUAAUUCUUGACGGAAAAGUGUUUCAGUUAUCAAACGACCAUGUUCGUCAGAUUCAUUCAAACUGGUUUGACUGAUAUUUUGGCAUUUUUAUCAGGAUAAGCGUGGAGUCGGUCGCAGAGACUGGCGGUGAACUUUUUAUUUGGCCAGCGUCGGCCCAGGACGCCGUCUAAACGGAAAGCACAGAAAAGUCGGUUCCACGCUUAACGUGAUAAUGAACGAUACUUAUGUUAGAUGUCAUUAUUAUUUUACCAAUUUAGACAAAUCCCCUUUAGUUUGGGCAAAUGCUUGUUAUUGGUCGUGGUUUGAGUAAAAUAUAACAUAUCUAAUUUUAUCUUAUUCUCCAACACUAUUUACGUAUUCAUACGUAUGCAUAUGCUUGUGGCGGAUUUUCAUUUUUGUUGGAGAUAUUUUUUCAACCAAAUCGUUGAAAUGAGACUUUGCAGCUAAUAAGUACUAUUGAUCUUUCAGUAACAGAAAUAUAAAGAGAAUAGAAUAAGAAUUGGGAGCAACUGGAUUGAUAUUAAGAUAUAGCUUAUAUUUACGCAUUCGCUUUGUGAUACAGAAUAUGGCUGAAAAUAUUAGUUUGUAAUAAUUUCAUAACAAUAUAGAUCUCAACACUGAUGAGGUCUAACAUGAUUUCUACCCAGGACAUAUUGAACUAAUAAUAAACGUUACAUACAUA